RNAcentral lists this ribosomal RNA (329 nucleotides) under uncultured bacterium. RNAcentral's name for it is "bacterial SSU rRNA". It matches the Rfam family "Bacterial small subunit ribosomal RNA", at positions 568 to 897 of the family's 1533-position model. The record is from RNAcentral.
UGUGUAGGCGGUUUGGUAAGUCUGGUGUGAAAUCUCCCGGCUCAACUGGGAGGGUGCGCCGGAAACUGCCGGACUCGAGUGCGGGAGAGGAAAGUGGAAUUCCUGGUGUAGCGGUGAAAUGCGUAGAUAUCAGGAGGAACACCGGUGGUGUAGACGGCUUUCUGGACCGUAACUGACGCUGAAACACGAAAGCGUGGGUAGCAAACAGGAUUAGAUACCCUGGUAGUCCACGCCCUAAACGAUGCACAUUUGGUGUGGGUCAUUCAGUUGAUCCGUGCCGGAGCUAACGCGUUAAAUGUGCCGCCUGGGGAGUACAGUCGCAAGGCUGA